This 309-nucleotide ribosomal RNA is filed under the name uncultured bacterium. Its description in RNAcentral is "partial 16S ribosomal RNA". It matches the Rfam family "Bacterial small subunit ribosomal RNA", at positions 504 to 807 of the family's 1533-position model. The record is from RNAcentral.
AGAGACAGCAGUAGCCGCGGUAAAACGAAGGGGGCUAGCGUUGUUCGGAAUUACUGGGCGUAAAGCGCACGUAGGCGGAUAUUUAAGUCAGGGGUGAAAUCCCAGAGCUCAACUCUGGAACUGCCUUUGAUACUGGGUAUCUUGAGUAUGGAAGAGGUGAGUGGAAUUCCGAGUGUAGAGGUGAAAUUCGUAGAUAUUCGGAGGAACACCAGUGGCGAAGGCGACUCACUGGUCCAUUACUGACGCUGAGGUGCGAAAGCGUGGGGAGCAAACAGGAUUAGAUACCCGAGUAGUCCCUGUCUCUUAUAC